Molecule: ribosomal RNA, 253 nt
Filed under: uncultured bacterium
Lineage: Bacteria
Description: partial 16S ribosomal RNA
Rfam family: Bacterial small subunit ribosomal RNA
Source: RNAcentral
UACGUAGGGUGCGAGCGUUAAUCGGAAUUACUGGGCGUAAAGGGUGCGCAGGCGGUUCUGCAAGUCAGGCGUGAAAGCCCCGGGCUUAACCUGGGAAUUGCGGUUGAAACUACAGGACUGGAGUAUGGCAGAGGGAGGUGGAAUUCCACGUGUAGCGGUGAAAUGCGUAGAGAUGUGGAGGAACACCGAUGGCGAAGGCAGCGUCCUGGGCCAGCACUGACGCUCAUGCACGAAAGCGUGGGGAGCAAACAGG